AACGAACGCUGGCGGCAUGCCUAACACAUGCCAGUCGAACGAGACCUCCGGGUGUGGUGGCGCUUGGGUGUGUAACGCGUGGGAACCUGCCCUUAGGCUCGGAAUAAUACUCUUUAAGGGGUGCUAAUACAGGGAAAUGUACUCGGAUAAAGCAUUGAUCGUGCUUGUGUGAGCGCGAGUUGGUUUAGCCUGUGGGUAGUGUAAAAGCCUACGACGGGGACGCUACAUAGCUGGGCUGAGAGACUGGUCAGCGACACUGGGAGUGGGACACGGUCCAGAAUCCUAGAGGAUGCAGCAGUGGCGAAUAUUGGACAAUGGGCGAAAGGCUGAUCCAGCAAUGCCGCGUGAGUGAUGAAGGCCUUAGGGUUGUAAAGCUCUUUUACCCGGGAUGAUAAUGACAGUACCGGGAGAAUAAGCUCCGGCUAACUCCGUG
RNAcentral lists this ribosomal RNA (433 nucleotides) under uncultured bacterium. RNAcentral describes it as "partial 16S ribosomal RNA". It matches the Rfam family "Bacterial small subunit ribosomal RNA", at positions 29 to 507 of the family's 1533-position model. The record is from RNAcentral.